CGCGGCGUCAUCGUCCCGAAUCCAAUAGCCCGUAACUCGGCCCGCGACGUUUCAAUAGCAGUCUUUAAUCGACUCUAAUUAUCGAACAUCUGUCCUUUUCAGAUUGUCAUUCUAACUACCCAUAUAAUAGGGAUAGGAACCGGACGUUUCGAGCAUUCUACUGUACUAAAUGUGAGAGAACCCGAAUAACAUUGUUGUUCUAGAAAUGAAAUCUAAAUUUGUUCACGAAAGCUUAUUUCGUCAUUGAAUCAGGCGCUGUAAGAUAUAACUGCUAUUAUAAAGAUGCGAGAUGCCUCUCGGCACAUUUGGAAAUAAAUUGAUCCUGAAUG
Molecule: long non-coding RNA, 329 nt
Organism: Ooceraea biroi (clonal raider ant)
Lineage: Eukaryota; Metazoa; Arthropoda; Insecta; Hymenoptera; Formicidae
Source: RefSeq, a predicted model, not a curated record